This 253-nucleotide ribosomal RNA is filed under the name uncultured bacterium. RNAcentral describes it as "partial 16S ribosomal RNA". It matches the Rfam family "Bacterial small subunit ribosomal RNA", at positions 524 to 776 of the family's 1533-position model. The record is from RNAcentral.
UACGUAGGGGGCAAGCGUUGUCCGGAAUUAUUGGGCGUAAAGCGCGCGCAGGCGGUCCUUUAAGUCUGAUGUGAAAGCCCACGGCUCAACCGUGGAGGGUCAUUGGAAACUGGGGGACUUGAGUGCAGAAGAGGAAAGCGGAAUUCCACGUGUAGCGGUGAAGUGCGUAGAGAUGUGGAGGAACACCGGUGGCGAAGGCGGCAUCCUGGACCGGUAUUGACGCUGAGGCGCGAAAGCCAGGGGAGCAAACGGG